UGGUAAUACCGGAUGCUCCGCUCCAUCGCAUGGUGGGGUGGGAAAUGCUUUUGCGGCAUGGGAUGGGGUCGCGUCCUAUCAGCUUGUUGGCGGGGUGAUGGCCCACCAAGGCGUUGACGGGUAGCCGGCCUGAGAGGGUGACCGGCCACAUUGGGACUGAGAUACGGCCCAGACUCCUACGGGAGGCAGCAGUGGGGAAUAUUGCACAAUGGGCGCAAGCCUGAUGCAGCGACGCCGCGUGCGGGAUGGAGGCCUUCGGGUUGUAAACCGCUUUUGUUCAAGGGCAAGGCACGGUUUCGGCCGUGUUGAGUGGAUUGUUCGAAUAAGCACCGGCUAACUACGUGCCAGCAGCCGCGGUAAUACGUAGGGUGCGAGCGUUAUCCGGAUUUAUUGGGCGUAAAGGGCUCGUAGGCGGUUCGUCGCGUCCGGUGUGAAAGUCCAUCGCCUAACGGUGGAUCUGCGCCGGGUACGGGCGGGCUGGAGUGCGGUAGGGGAGACUGGAAUUCCCGGUGUAACGGUGGAAUGUGUAGAUAUCGGAAAGAACA
This 545-nucleotide ribosomal RNA is filed under the name Bifidobacterium animalis subsp. lactis. Its description in RNAcentral is "bacterial SSU rRNA". It matches the Rfam family "Bacterial small subunit ribosomal RNA", at positions 161 to 708 of the family's 1533-position model. The record is from RNAcentral. Lineage: Bacteria; Bacillati; Actinomycetota; Actinomycetes; Bifidobacteriales; Bifidobacteriaceae.